UACGUAGGUGGCAAGCGUUGUCCGGAUUUACUGGGCGUAAAGAGCGCGCAGGCGGUCGAGUAAGUCGAAUGUGAAAGCCCCCGGCUCAACUGGGGAGGGUCAUUCGAUACUGUUCGACUUGAAGGCAGGAGAGGGCAGCAGAAUUCCCGGUGUAGUGGUGAAAUGCGUAGAUAUCUGGAGGAACACCGGUGGCGAAGGCGGCAUCCUGGACCAACACUGACGCUGAGGAGCGAAAGCCAGGGGAGCAAACGGG
This 253-nucleotide ribosomal RNA is filed under the name uncultured bacterium. RNAcentral's name for it is "partial 16S ribosomal RNA". It matches the Rfam family "Bacterial small subunit ribosomal RNA", at positions 524 to 776 of the family's 1533-position model. The record is from RNAcentral.